This 429-nucleotide ribosomal RNA is filed under the name uncultured bacterium. Its description in RNAcentral is "bacterial SSU rRNA". It matches the Rfam family "Bacterial small subunit ribosomal RNA", at positions 355 to 775 of the family's 1533-position model. The record is from RNAcentral.
UGGGGAAUAUUGGGCAAUGGGCGAAAGCCUGACCCAGCGACGCCGCGUGGGCGAUGAAGGCCUUCGGGUUGUAAAGCCCCGUCAUGCGGAAAGAACGACCCUGUGACGCAUACUCACAGGGAGUGACGGUACCGCAGGAGGAAGCACCGGCUAACUCCGUGCCAGCAGCCGCGGUAAUACGGAGGGUGCAAGCGUUGUUCGGAAUUAUUGGGCGUAAAGGGCGCGUAGGCGGUAAUGUAAGUCAGAUGUGAAAUACUCCGGCUCAACCAGAGAACAGCAUCUGAAACUGCAUAACUAGAGUACAGAAGAGGGAAACGGAAUUCCCGGUGUAGAGGUGAAAUUCGUAGAUAUCGGGAGGAACACCAGUGGCGAAGGCGGUUUCCUGGUCUGAUACUGACGCUGAGGCGCGAAAGCGUGGGGAGCAAACAG